This is a long non-coding RNA of Hemicordylus capensis (graceful crag lizard), 1322 nucleotides long. RefSeq lists it as uncharacterized. The record is from RefSeq and is a predicted model, not a curated record. NCBI's taxonomy places the organism in Eukaryota, Metazoa, Chordata, Lepidosauria, Squamata, Cordylidae. The transcript has 3 exons.
AUAUCCUGGCAGGCGCUUGCAAAUGGGAGGAGUCUUCUUGAAGCGGACAGAGAGUCAGGCUCUCUUGUUGCAGGGCGGCUUGGGCCUUGGAGUGGAUUUGGUGGUAGGAGUGGAAGGCUUACGAAAGGACUUAUAUGGCUGGUAUCUAUUCCUCUGUUGAGCUUGGUGACGAAAAGGAUGAAAGCUCUGGCCUCAGAAUGACAAUCAAGGCAGAGGGUCGUCCGAUGUCGCUAUCACCCGCGGUUGGGAGGACCGUCGGCGGCUGAUUUACAGCAGCGGCCCUGCUGCUGUGGAAGGGGGACUCGGUGGCACGAGCCAUGAGCACAAUUUAUCCUAACAGCUUGGAGUUGAUUCAUUCACCGGAGAGAGACAGGCUGUUCAUUUUCCAACAAUUAUCCAUGGAAAGGGCAGGAGAGGCCGACCUCCUCACCCGCCUCCCAUCCGUCAAGCCUCCCCUCUUUGUAGACCCACACGACACGUGCCAGCGCUCAGGGCAGGCAGCCCAACGUCUGGAGGGAUCUGGGACAAGUUGUACCAUCCCAAGAACUGCAUUCAGAAUGAAGAGAAAGUGCAUUCCCUUGGCUGGAAUGUAGAUACUGCUGUUAGCAUCUGACACCUUUCCUGGACAGCCCACCUGCACAUAGCGUCCCAUUCCCCCACUUCACCCCAUUCUCUGAGCGGGAGGGGACUUGUGCAGAGAGAGCAAUUUUAAUUAAUUUGUAUUUAUUUUUAUACUUCUAGCUCAUAACACGGUUUUACGUUUAUCCUCCCAACAACCUCAGCCUGAUUUAGACAUUAUGAUGUCUGUACACGCGUUCAUGUGUUUGUGUGAAUGACUGUACCUGGGUUCACUUUAAAAAUGAACCUGGAUACAGACCCUUCAAACGCACGAUACAGAUAGGAAGGGUAUGGCUGUACCUGCACUCAGCGUAGCAUGUGAAUGACUGUACCUGUGUGCAGAUCUGUUGUACGAGUGUUGAGCAUAACGUGUGAAUGGGACUCCUGAGAGGUAGGUUAGGCUGAGAGAGAAGUGGCUGACCCAGUGUCAGUUUCAUGGCUGAACUGAGAUUUGAACUCGUGUCUCCCCAGUCCUAGUCUGACACUCUAGCUAUGACACUACCCUGGUUCUCAAUGGUUGCUUGUUAUAACUGUUUUAAGAUACAGGCUGAGCAGGUGGGAAACAAGGAAGCGUCCAGAAAGGCACUUUUAGUCCCAUAGCAUCAUCUGCUCCAUCAUCAUCAUCAUCAUCAUCAUCAUCAUCAUCAUCCGUUAUUUAUUGAGUGCCUAGAAUGCAUGAGGUGCAGUACAGAAAUAAAUUUUAA